This 90-nucleotide small RNA is filed under the name Sphingopyxis italica. Its description in RNAcentral is "microRNA MIR1846". The record is from RNAcentral. Lineage: Bacteria; Pseudomonadati; Pseudomonadota; Alphaproteobacteria; Sphingomonadales; Sphingopyxidaceae.
UUUGUCCGUCAUCCCGGCGAAGGCCGGGAUCUCGCCGGUGCGUCAUGUUGCGACGACGAGAUCCCGGCCUUCGCCGGGAUGACGAAUUGG